UACGGAGGAUCCGAGCGUUAUCCGGAUUUAUUGGGUUUAAAGGGUGCGUAGGCGGAAAUGUAAGUCAGUGGUGAAAUCCUGCAUCUUAACUGUAGAAUAGCCGUUGAAACUGUGUUUCUUGAGUACAUUUGAGGUAGGCGGAAUGUGGUGUGUAGCGGUGAAGUGCAUGGAUAUACCACAGAACACCGAUUGCGAAGGCAGCUUACUAAACUGUCACUGACGCUGAUGCACGAAAGCGUGGGUAUCAAACAGGAUUAGA
This 259-nucleotide ribosomal RNA is filed under the name uncultured prokaryote. Its description in RNAcentral is "partial 16S ribosomal RNA". It matches the Rfam family "Bacterial small subunit ribosomal RNA", at positions 524 to 782 of the family's 1533-position model. The record is from RNAcentral.